This 1522-nucleotide ribosomal RNA is filed under the name Escherichia coli. RNAcentral describes it as "bacterial SSU rRNA". It matches the Rfam family "Bacterial small subunit ribosomal RNA". The record is from RNAcentral. Lineage: Bacteria; Pseudomonadati; Pseudomonadota; Gammaproteobacteria; Enterobacterales; Enterobacteriaceae.
UUGAAGAGUUUGAUCAUGGCUCAGAUUGAACGCUGGCGGCAGGCCUAACACAUGCAAGUCGAACGGUAACAGGAAGCAGCUUGCUGCUUCGCUGACGAGUGGCGGACGGGUGAGUAAUGUCUGGGAAACUGCCUGAUGGAGGGGGAUAACUACUGGAAACGGUAGCUAAUACCGCAUAACGUCGCAAGACCAAAGAGGGGGACCUUCGGGCCUCUUGCCAUCGGAUGUGCCCAGAUGGGAUUAGCUUGUUGGUGGGGUAACGGCUCACCAAGGCGACGAUCCCUAGCUGGUCUGAGAGGAUGACCAGCCACACUGGAACUGAGACACGGUCCAGACUCCUACGGGAGGCAGCAGUGGGGAAUAUUGCACAAUGGGCGCAAGCCUGAUGCAGCCAUGCCGCGUGUAUGAAGAAGGCCUUCGGGUUGUAAAGUACUUUCAGCGGGGAGGAAGGGAGUAAAGUUAAUACCUUUGCUCAUUGACGUUACCCGCAGAAGAAGCACCGGCUAACUCCGUGCCAGCAGCCGCGGUAAUACGGAGGGUGCAAGCGUUAAUCGGAAUUACUGGGCGUAAAGCGCACGCAGGCGGUUUGUUAAGUCAGAUGUGAAAUCCCCGGGCUCAACCUGGGAACUGCAUCUGAUACUGGCAAGCUUGAGUCUCGUAGAGGGGGGUAGAAUUCCAGGUGUAGCGGUGAAAUGCGUAGAGAUCUGGAGGAAUACCGGUGGCGAAGGCGGCCCCCUGGACGAAGACUGACGCUCAGGUGCGAAAGCGUGGGGAGCAAACAGGAUUAGAUACCCUGGUAGUCCACGCCGUAAACGAUGUCGACUUGGAGGUUGUGCCCUUGAGGCGUGGCUUCCGGAGCUAACGCGUUAAGUCGACCGCCUGGGGAGUACGGCCGCAAGGUUAAAACUCAAAUGAAUUGACGGGGGCCCGCACAAGCGGUGGAGCAUGUGGUUUAAUUCGAUGCAACGCGAAGAACCUUACCUGGUCUUGACAUCCACAGAACUUUCCAGAGAUGGAUUGGUGCCUUCGGGAACUGUGAGACAGGUGCUGCAUGGCUGUCGUCAGCUCGUGUUGUGAAAUGUUGGGUUAAGUCCCGCAACGAGCGCAACCUUAUCCUUUGUUGCCAGCGGUCCGGCCGGGAACUCAAAGGAGACUGCCAGUGAUAAACUGGAGGAAGGUGGGGAUGACGUCAAGUCAUCAUGGCCCUUACGACUACACGUGCUACAAUGGCGCAUACAAAGAGAAGCGACCUCGCGAGAGCAAGCGGACCUCAUAAAGUGCGUCGUAGUCCGGAUUGAGUCUGCAACUCGACUCCAUGAAGUCGGAAUCGCUAGUAAUCGUGGAUCAGAAUGCCACGGUGAAUACGUUCCGGGCCUUGUACACACCGCCCGUCACACCAUGGGAGUGGGUUGCAAAAGAAGGUAGCAACCUUCGGGAGGGCGCUUACCACUUUGUGAUUCAUGACUGGGGUGAAGUCGUAACAAGGUAACCGUAGGGGAACCUGCGGUUGGAUCACCUCCUU